Non-coding RNA from Drosophila melanogaster (fruit fly), 318 nucleotides. The record is from Ensembl. NCBI's taxonomy places the organism in Eukaryota, Metazoa, Arthropoda, Insecta, Diptera, Drosophilidae.
CCCCUCGCCGCCGGCGGCAGCGCAUACAGUUAGUAUGCGAACUUCCAAUCGGGAGGUAGUGCCGCCGGUCCGGGUUCGAAUCCCGGUGAAGUUAUCAAAAGUAGCAAUGGAAAAUAUAUGAUGAUGGUGCACUUCCGGAUUUACAAUUACAAUAUCCCAAAUCCAAAUUUAGGGUGUGCAAAAUACAUACUAUUGUAGAUUUAAGUUAUAUCAUAAGAAUGAAAGUUUGGUUUGUUUACGCUGUCACACAAUGCAAUAUGGGCUUUAGUUAUAAGAAACACAAACAGACGAUUGUAAAUAAUAACACAAAAACACUUU